AACGAACGCUGGCGGCAUGCCUAACACAUGCAAGUCGAACGAAGCCUUCGGGCUUAGUGGCGCACGGGUGCGUAACGCGUGGGAAUCUGCCCUUAGGUACGGAAUAACUCAGGGAAACUUGUGCUAAUACCGUAUGAUGUCGAGAGACCAAAGAUUUAUCGCCUAGGGAUGAGCCCGCGUAGGAUUAGCUAGUUGGUGGGGUAAAGGCCUACCAAGGCGACGAUCCUUAGCUGGUCUGAGAGGAUGAUCAGCCACACUGGGACUGAGACACGGCCCAGACUCCUACGGGAGGCAGCAGUGGGGAAUAUUGGACAAUGGGCGAAUGCCUGAUCCAGCAAUGCCGCGUGAGUGAAGAAGG
Molecule: ribosomal RNA, 358 nt
Filed under: uncultured bacterium
Lineage: Bacteria
Description: bacterial SSU rRNA
Rfam family: Bacterial small subunit ribosomal RNA
Source: RNAcentral